CUUCAGUUAUAGAAUGUUUACUGUGUAUGACACAAUAUAUACAACUUUCAGCAACGGAUCUCUUGGCUCUCGCAUCGAUGAAGAACGCAGCGAAAUGCGAUAAGUAAUGUGAAUGNCAGAAUUCAGUGAAUCAUCGAAUCUUUGAACGCACCUUGCGCUCCUUGGUAUUCCGAGGAGCAUGCCUGUUUGAGUGUCAUGGAAUUCUCAACCUUCAACUUUGUUGUUGAAGGCUUGGACAUGGAGGUUGUGUCGGCUCUAGUCACUCGACUCCUCUCAAAUGCAUUAGUGUGAAUCUUACGGAUCAUCUUCAGUGUGAUAAUUAUCUGCGCUGUGGUGUUGAAGUAUUUGUCGAUCAUGCAUACAACAGUCCUUUGCUGGACAGCUAUUGACAAUCUGACCUCAAAUCAGGUAGGACUACCCGCUGAACUUAAGCAUAUCAAUAAGCGGAGGAAAAGAAACUAACAAGGAUUCCCCUAGUAACUGCGAGUGAAGCGGGAAAAGCUCAAAUUUAAAAUCUGGCGGCUUUGGUCGUCCGAGUUGUAUUCUAGAGAAGCGUCUUCCGCGC
This 565-nucleotide ribosomal RNA is filed under the name uncultured fungus. RNAcentral's name for it is "eukaryotic LSU rRNA". The stretch from base 43 to 196 matches the Rfam family "5.8S ribosomal RNA". The record is from RNAcentral. Lineage: Eukaryota; Fungi.